Molecule: ribosomal RNA, 255 nt
Filed under: uncultured Acidobacteriota bacterium
Lineage: Bacteria; Pseudomonadati; Acidobacteriota
Description: uncultured Acidobacteria bacterium partial 16S ribosomal RNA
Rfam family: Bacterial small subunit ribosomal RNA
Source: RNAcentral
GACGGGGGGAGCAAGCGUUGUUCGGAUUUACUGGGCGUAAAGGGCGCGUAGGCGGCCACUGCAAGUCGAUUGUGAAAUCUCCGGGCUUAACCCGGAAAGGUCAGUCGAUACUGCAGGGCUAGAGUGCAGAAGGGGCAACCGGAAUUCUCGGUGUAGCGGUGAAAUGCGUAGAUAUCGAGAGGAACACCUGCGGCGAAGGCGGGUUGCUGGGCUGACACUGACGCUGACAGCGCGAAAGCUAGGGGAGCGAACGGG